This 550-nucleotide ribosomal RNA is filed under the name uncultured bacterium. Its description in RNAcentral is "bacterial SSU rRNA". It matches the Rfam family "Bacterial small subunit ribosomal RNA", at positions 355 to 896 of the family's 1533-position model. The record is from RNAcentral.
UAGGGAAUCUUCGGCAAUGGACGGAAGUCUGACCGAGCAACGCCGCGUGAGUGAAGAAGGUUUUCGGAUCGUAAAGCUCUGUUGUAAGAGAAGAACGAGUGUGAGAGUGGAAAGUUCACACUGUGACGGUAUCUUACCAGAAAGGGACGGCUAACUACGUGCCAGCAGCCGCGGUAAUACGUAGGUCCCGAGCGUUGUCCGGAUUUAUUGGGCGUAAAGCGAGCGCAGGCGGUUAGAUAAGUCUGAAGUUAAAGGCUGUGGCUUAACCAUAGUAGGCUUUGGAAACUGUUUAACUUGAGUGCAAGAGGGGAGAGUGGAAUUCCAUGUGUAGCGGUGAAAUGCGUAGAUAUAUGGAGGAACACCGGUGGCGAAAGCGGCUCUCUGGCUUGUAACUGACGCUGAGGCUCGAAAGCGUGGGGAGCAAACAGGAUUAGAUACCCUGGAAGUCCACGCUGUAAACGAUGAGUGCUAGGUGUUAGACCCUUUCCGGGGUUUAGUGCCGUAGCUAACGCAUUAAGCACUCCGCCUGGGGAGUACGACCGCAAGGUUG